Molecule: ribosomal RNA, 253 nt
Filed under: uncultured bacterium
Lineage: Bacteria
Description: partial 16S ribosomal RNA
Rfam family: Bacterial small subunit ribosomal RNA
Source: RNAcentral
UACGUAGGGUGCGAGCGUUAAUCGGAAUUACUGGGCGUAAAGCGUGCGCAGGCGGUUUUGUAAGCCAGGUGUGAAAGCCCCGGGCUUAACCUGGGAAUGGCAUUUGGGACUGCAAGGCUGGAGUUUGGCAGAGGAGACUGGAAUUCCUGGUGUAGCAGUGAAAUGCGUAGAUAUCAGGAGGAAUACCGAUGGCGAAGGCAGGUCUCUGGGCUAGAACUGACGCUCAUGCACGAAAGCGUGGGGAGCAAACAGG